CUAAAACAGCUCAACUGUUAUCUCUUACUUUUUCUUCUAUUACAUGAAAAUAGGGGUGUGCUAUAUUGACAGUAAUGUUUCAAAAAUAUAAUUUUUAAUAUUUCCUGGGAUUUGGCAAUAAUGAUAAUUAGAGCAUAUUUUGCUGGUUCACAGCAGUAUUUCAGAUUACUACAAGGCACUAUUUUGUCCCCUAUACUCAUUUCAAAUAAAAUUUUUAGGGCAUUUUUUAAAAAACUUUAUAAAAUGUAUAUAUCAUUUUGUUACUUUUAACAAUAAUUUCAAUUAGAAUAAGAUACGGUUACAAAUAAAACAAGGCCUUAUGUUUUCUCGUGGGAAGAAGAGGAUUAAGUAAGCACGUACAAUUGCAAUGAAAUCAACAAAAUCCAUCUUUGCACUGCAGCGGUGACACAGAAGGUGCAUCUGGAAAAGCCUUUAUUUACACAGAAUGUUUGAUGCAGCUCAGAAGUGGUUUGAAUGCAUUUACA
Molecule: long non-coding RNA, 485 nt
Organism: Carassius carassius (crucian carp)
Lineage: Eukaryota; Metazoa; Chordata; Actinopteri; Cypriniformes; Cyprinidae
Exons: 2
Source: RefSeq, a predicted model, not a curated record